Molecule: long non-coding RNA, 1366 nt
Filed under: Homo sapiens (human)
Lineage: Eukaryota; Metazoa; Chordata; Mammalia; Primates; Hominidae
Description: long intergenic non-protein coding RNA 1471
Source: RNAcentral
AAUGCAGAGGUGGGGGACAGAGUGGGUGGGGAGGGGAGCCGCCAUACAGUGGCCAGGACCAGCUUUGCCCAAGUGGUGGCAACCGCAUGACCACAGGAACGAUGGCGUGAGCCCCGUGGCAACCUGGAGGAAGGGGUGUGAGAAGAAAACAUUAGAACUUCUAUUUUGUACCUGUGUUACUCCACAACAAGAAAGCAAUCAGCUUGAUCAAUGCCUACUGUAAAGACGGCACCGCCCUCCGGAGGUCCUUUCUCAGCCCUGGUGUUCGGACAGCCACAUCCCCUCGCAGCAGGGGGAGGCCUGAAGCAUAGAGGGGCCCAUGCAGGUCUAUUCUGUUUCAGCGAAUUGCCUGGGAAAUAAUCCAGGAUCCAUUUCGUGUGGUCAUCUUGUCUCCCUGGUCCCCUCCAGCCUUUCCUCAUCUUUUGUGACCUGGUCACUCUGGAAGGGCGCUGGCCAGUUAGUCCACAGGAUGGGCCUCCCCUGGGGCUUUUCUGAUGCUUCCUUAUGAUGGCACUGGCAUCCUGAGGGGGAGGACCACAGAGAGGAGGUGCUCCUCAUCACACCACAUGGGGGUCCAUGCACCAGUGCCACUGCUUUCCAGGGCUCUUCACCUUCAUCACUGGUGGAGGUGGCGUCUGCCAAGAAGCAGAAAGUUGAGGCUUAGAAGGUGCACGGCCCUACCUCUUCCGAGGUGCCCCUGCGGGCUGUCUACAGACCAGGCAGCACAUGCCUGAUAGCAGCUGCAUAAGGAAAAGCAGGAGCCAGCUCGUGCACAGUGGCCUCAAGUGUGCACUGGGCAUGUUCUCUGCCUCACCAUCCCUGUGUGACAGAUGAAGCAUGGCAAGCCAGGCUCCAGAGAAGCAUCCUGAGGACCAGUGUUCCUAGGGACCUCAUUCUUCUGACCUCAUUCCUACAACGUUUUGUCACUGCAAAGGAAAUCACCAAGGCCAGCAUGACAGCCCUCAACAGAAGCCAAGGCCAAGUCCUCGAACUUCCUAGUCUGCACAAUGACACUUCUGAUGAAACUGAAAAUGCCACCAGGGAGAAGCAGCUGAAAUAACACUUGUGCUGAGGUCGCUGAGCCACUGUGGAAGACAUCCAAGCUCCAUAAAGACAGGUCAAGUGCACAUGCUCCAGUCAACAGCCCAGCUGAGCCCUCAGCAUACAGCCAACACCAACUGCAAGCUGAGGGUGAAACAACUUGGAUGUCCAUUUGGAUGUCAAGCUGGACUUCAGAUGCCUGUGGUUGCAGCUCUGUCUGCAACUACAUGGAAGACGCCAUGUGAACCACCUAGUAGAGCCCUUCCUAGAAUUGUUGGCCCUCAGACUCUACAUGCAUAUCAAAAUGAAUGUUGUUUGAAGCCAU